CUAACACAUGCAAGUCUACUUGAAGCUACUGCUUGCAGUAGUGAAUGGUGGCGAACGGGUGAGUAACGCGUAGAUAACCUACCAUUUAAUUUGGGAUAAUUCACUGAAAAGAGGACUAAUACCGAAUGUGUUCUUUAGAUGGCAUCAUCUUUAGAAAAAAGUUUUUGGACGUUAAAUGAUGGGUCUGCGUAUCAUUAGUUAGUUGGUAAGGUAAUGGCUUACCAAGACAUCGAUGAUUAGCUGGUCUGAGAGGAUGAUCAGCCACACUGGGACUGAGAUACGGCCCAGACUCCUACGGGAGGCAGCAGUGAGGAAUAUUGCACAAUGGGGGCAACCCUGAUGCAGCAACGCCGCGUGUACGAAGAAUCUGAAUACAGUGUAAAGUACUGUUAGAAGGGACGAAAUGUUAGAUUAGUAGUCUGACUUGCCGGUACCUUCUAAGAAAGCUCCGGCUAACUCC
Molecule: ribosomal RNA, 460 nt
Filed under: uncultured bacterium
Lineage: Bacteria
Description: bacterial SSU rRNA
Rfam family: Bacterial small subunit ribosomal RNA
Source: RNAcentral